Molecule: long non-coding RNA, 718 nt
Organism: Zea mays
Lineage: Eukaryota; Viridiplantae; Streptophyta; Magnoliopsida; Poales; Poaceae
Exons: 2
Source: RefSeq, a predicted model, not a curated record
GCGCAAGCCGCUCCUCCUGCGCAGCCGCCACCACUGCCCGCGGGGCCCGCGUCCCAACGCGCCCACAUCAUGCCCCCAGCGGGUGACGGCGCGCCGCCGCGCGUUCGCCUAGGCCGCCGGUCACAGCCUGACCACGCUCGCGUAGGCCCACGCGCGCACAGCGCGAGUGCAGCAACCGCCGCACGCCUAGCUGCCCCGCGCGGCACUCGCCCACGACGUUGAGAAAACCGACGUCCGCGCCCACGCUCUCCUAUCCGAGCGUCUACACAUCCUCUCCUCUUCCUCCUUCAUUUCCCCAAUCGCCAGCACUCGAUGCCUCCAUAAUCGUCGCCCAGUCCUCACAUCGCCAUCCUUGACACGCGUUCGGAGAUCGACGUCGAAACCGCCGCACCGGAGUCCAUCCUCGCCGUGUUCGCCUGCACCAGAGCCGCUCGCCACCUACCUCUUCCAUGCCCUAUUGAGCCGCGCGCCCGUGCCAUCUCCGUUGAGAUCCAAGAUCGCGAUUCGUUUCCGAGCUUUGAGGAAUCGACGAUCAAGCGUUGGCGACCAAGUGAUCAAGUUCUUCGAGUUCUACGAGAUUAAAUACCCUGAGCAUCUGUUUUGGUGAAGGCAAAUGUCCUCUGACCCAUUAUGUCCUAUCUACUUAUAAUUCAUUUUCCCGCGUUACUUAAUGGAAACCUAAGGAUUGACUAACUUUGUGUUUACCUUGUCCUUAUUA